UGACGAAGCUCCUAAGUGUGGAUGCCGGUGGCCCGUCGCCGCUCCAGCCGCUGUGUGCAACGAUCGUAGUUCGCGAAAUCACGAUGGAUGUUGACGAGGACGGUUUGUUCGAUGCACCCUUGCCUCUAAGCACAAUUCUCAACCAUGUUGGGGACGGUGUCAGGUGUCUCGUCGAAGGCGACGAAGUUGUUUCGGCGGGCCACAUCAUUGAGUGUAGUGCCGUCGCUUCCACCUGCUGCUCUGACGGUCCUGUGCACGUUAUCGCAUUCGUGCUGCAGUCGUCCGCGCUUAGUAAAGACCCACACCGAGUCGGCCUGAAUUUAACCGUCGAGACAAAGACAGCAGAAUUGAACUGCACAUGCCCUGCAGGGUAAAGUAUUGCCGCAAGUUGUUCGGAUGUAGUUGGUCGCGGCGCGUAUCGCGAUUUGUUUACAUUACAUCAUACUAAGCUGACUCGCGGAUUUGCUAUGUGUUUACGUUAUGCGAUAAAUUUAGAGAACUUAUGUUACUUUAUCAAUUUUUGUUUUUAGCUAGACCUACGAAAUCGCGAGUUAGUUUCAGAGUGUUACUACCAUUGUGAAAUGCUUUCGAGUCGCUUUAUAACUAGUUGCAACCGUUACACGAAGCUCAAAUAAAGCAUGCAACGUAUAAUUUA
Molecule: non-coding RNA, 655 nt
Organism: Dermacentor andersoni
Lineage: Eukaryota; Metazoa; Arthropoda; Arachnida; Ixodida; Ixodidae
Source: RefSeq, a predicted model, not a curated record